GUGGUGGCUCAGCGAUAGAGCGCUCGCCUAGCACAUGAGAGGUCCUAGGUUCGAACUUCAGCACCACA
Molecule: transfer RNA, 68 nt
Filed under: Marmota monax (woodchuck)
Lineage: Eukaryota; Metazoa; Chordata; Mammalia; Rodentia; Sciuridae
Description: tRNA.Ala
Source: RNAcentral